Molecule: transfer RNA, 90 nt
Filed under: Halovulum marinum
Lineage: Bacteria; Pseudomonadati; Pseudomonadota; Alphaproteobacteria; Rhodobacterales; Paracoccaceae
Description: Rhodobacteraceae bacterium 2CG4 tRNA-Ser
Rfam family: tRNA
About the family: Transfer RNA (tRNA) molecules are approximately 80 nucleotides in length. Their secondary structure includes four short double-helical elements and three loops (D, anti-codon, and T loops).
Source: RNAcentral
GGAUGGGUGGCUGAGUGGUCGAAAGCACCGUCUUGGAAAGGCGGCGGGCGCGCAAGCGUCCCGCGGGUUCGAAUCCCGCCCCAUCCGCCA